This 497-nucleotide ribosomal RNA is filed under the name uncultured bacterium. RNAcentral describes it as "partial 16S ribosomal RNA". It matches the Rfam family "Bacterial small subunit ribosomal RNA", at positions 28 to 507 of the family's 1533-position model. The record is from RNAcentral.
GAUGAACGCUGGCGGCGUGCCUAAUACAUGCAAGUCGAGCGAACAGACGAGGAGCUUGCUCCUCUGACGUUAGCGGCGGACGGGUGAGUAACACGUGGAUAACCUACUUAUAAGACUGGGAUAACUUCGGGAAACCGGAGCUAAUACCGGAUAAUAUAUUGAACCGCAUGGUUCAAUAGUGAAAGACGGUUUUGCUGUCACUUAUAGAUGGAUCCGCGCCGCAUUAGCUAGUUGGUAAGGUAACGGCUUACCAAGGCAACGAUGCGUAGCCGACCUGAGAGGGUGAUCGGCCACACUGGAACUGAGACACGGUCCAGACUCCUACGGGAGGCAGCAGUAGGGAAUCUUCCGCAAUGGGCGAAAGCCUGACGGAGCAACGCCGCGUGAGUGAUGAAGGUCUUCGGAUCGUAAAACUCUGUUAUUAGGGAAGAACAAAUGUGUAAGUAACUAUGCACGUCUUGACGGUACCUAAUCAGAAAGCCACGGCUAGCUACGUG